AACAAUACGACAAUAAGACAAUUUAAUGUUUGUGUAUAAAUGAAGGAAUAAAAUGACUAUUCUCUUCUAUCACACACCUUAAAAUACAGAAACAAAUAAUUAAAUAGCUCUAAGUUAGCCGUGGAUUGGAAUAAUGGGUGUGUGUUUGAAAGGUAGAUAAGUGGGAGAGGCUUUUUAUCUAAAGCAACUAACAAAUGAAAAAAUAUUUCAUAUUUUGUCAGUAAACUAACAAGUGGAGUCUACAGGGUUAUGGCAACAAAAAAGUUUAUUGUUCCAGGUAGACCUAAAGUCUAUAAAUAUAGAUUGGGAACAUUUAAACAAUGGACAGAAGUAGGAGGAGCAGGAGGAUAUCAGUGUGGAAUACUACUAUUAGAAGGAGCAGGAGGAAGUAGAGGAGUAACGGGAG
Misgurnus anguillicaudatus (oriental weatherfish) is the source of this 406-nucleotide non-coding RNA. The record is from RefSeq and is a predicted model, not a curated record. NCBI's taxonomy places the organism in Eukaryota, Metazoa, Chordata, Actinopteri, Cypriniformes, Cobitidae.